UCAGGGGUUCUAUUACAUGAAAUAUACAGACGAUCAUACACGAAGCGCAAAAGUGACUUGCGCGAGCUUCCAUUUCAUUGGAUAAAACUGUAACGUGAUCAAUUUCCAAUAUUAGUUGAAGUUUGAAGCUGUCAAUCAUUUUAUUUAUAUUACAAAUUUUAUAUACCAUGUGUCUUACUCAUUAACAUAUUUAAACAAACUCAUCCUUCGGAUUCGUUUGUUUAAAUAUGUUAACU
This 236-nucleotide long non-coding RNA is filed under the name Mytilus galloprovincialis (Mediterranean mussel). The record is from RNAcentral. Lineage: Eukaryota; Metazoa; Mollusca; Bivalvia; Mytilida; Mytilidae.